RNAcentral lists this ribosomal RNA (509 nucleotides) under uncultured bacterium. RNAcentral's name for it is "partial 16S ribosomal RNA". It matches the Rfam family "Bacterial small subunit ribosomal RNA", at positions 28 to 506 of the family's 1533-position model. The record is from RNAcentral.
GACGAACGCUGGCGGCGUGCUUAACACAUGCAAGUUGAACGAAGAGCGAUGGAAGCUUGCUUCUAUCAAUCUUAGUGGCGCACGGGUGAGUAACGCGUAAUCAACCUGCCCUUCAGAGGGGGACAACAGUUGGAAACGACUGCUAAUACCGCAUACGAUCUAAUCUCGGCAUCGAGGAUAGAUGAAAGGUGGCCUCUACAUGUAAGCUAUCACUGAAGGAGGGGAUUGCGUCUGAUUAGCUAGUUGGAGGGGUAACGGCCCACCGAGGCGAUGAUCAGUAGCCGGUCUGAGAGGAUGAACGGCCACAUUGGGACUGAGACACGGCCCAGACUCCUACGGGAGGCAGCAGUGGGGAAUCUUCCGCAAUGGACGAAAGUCUGACGGAGCAACGCCGCGUGAGUGAUGACGGCCUUCGGGUUGUAAAGCUCUGUUAAUCGGGACGAAAGGCCUUCUUGCGAAUAGUGAGAAGGAUUGACGGUACCGGAAUAGAAAGCCACGGCUAACUACGU